Molecule: ribosomal RNA, 412 nt
Filed under: uncultured Alphaproteobacteria bacterium
Lineage: Bacteria; Pseudomonadati; Pseudomonadota; Alphaproteobacteria
Description: bacterial SSU rRNA
Rfam family: Bacterial small subunit ribosomal RNA
Source: RNAcentral
AGAGUUUGAUCCUGGCUCAGAACGAACGCUGGCGGCAGGCCUAACACAUGCAAGUCGAACGAGAAGCCAGACUUCGGUUUGGUGGACAGUGGCAGACGGGUGAGUAACGCGUGGGAAUCUACCCAGUGGUACGGAACAACUCAGGGAAACUUGAGCUAAUACCGUAUGAGCCCGCAAGGGGAAAGAUUUAUCGCCAUUGGAUGAGCCCGCGUCUGAUUAGCUAGUUGGUGGGGUAAAAGCCUACCAAGGCGACGAUCAGUAGCUGGUCUGAGAGGAUGAUCAGCCACACUGGGACUGAGACACGGCCCAGACUCCUACGGGAGGCAGCAGUGGGGAAUAUUGGACAAUGGGCGCAAGCCUGAUCCAGCCAUGCCGCGUGAGUGAUGAAGGCCCUAGGGUUGUAAAGCUCUUU